GACGAACGCUGGCGGCGUGCCUAAUACAUGCAAGUAGAACGCACAGUUUAUACCGUAGCUUGCUACACCAUAGACUGUGAGUUGCGAACGGGUGAGUAACGCGUAGGUAACCUGCCUGGUAGCGGGGGAUAACUAUUGGAAACGAUAGCUAAUACCGCAUAAUAUUAAUUAUUGCAUGAUAAUUGAUUGAAAGGUGCAAAUGCAUCACUACCAGAUGGACCUGCGUUGUAUUAGCUAGUAGGUGAGGUAACGGCUCACCUAGGCGACGAUACAUAGCCGACCUGAGAGGGUGAUCGGCCACACUGGGACUGAGACACGGCCCAGACUCCUACGGGAGGCAGCAGUAGGGAAUCUUCGGCAAUGGACGAAAGUCUGACCGAGCAACGCCGCGUGAGUGAAGAAGGUUUUCGGAUCGUAAAGCUCUGUUGUAAGAGAAGAACGGGUGUGAGAGUGGAAAGUUCACACUGUG
This 469-nucleotide ribosomal RNA is filed under the name Streptococcus gordonii. Its description in RNAcentral is "bacterial SSU rRNA". It matches the Rfam family "Bacterial small subunit ribosomal RNA", at positions 28 to 471 of the family's 1533-position model. Lineage: Bacteria; Bacillati; Bacillota; Bacilli; Lactobacillales; Streptococcaceae. The record is from RNAcentral.